This 497-nucleotide ribosomal RNA is filed under the name uncultured bacterium. RNAcentral's name for it is "partial 16S ribosomal RNA". It matches the Rfam family "Bacterial small subunit ribosomal RNA", at positions 28 to 507 of the family's 1533-position model. The record is from RNAcentral.
GACGAACGCUGGCGGCGUGCCUAAUACAUGCAAGUCGAACGCUGAAGAGAGGAGCUUGCUCUUCUUGGUUGAGUUGCGAACGGGUGAGUAACGCGUAGGUAACCUGCCUUGCAGCGGGGGAUAACUAUUGGAAACGAUAGCUACUACCGCAUAAUAUAUGAUGACACAUGUCACCUACGUUAAAGGAGCAAUUGCUUCACGACAAGAUGGACCUGCGUUGUAUUAGCUAGUAGGUGAGGUAAUGGGUCACCCAGGACACGAAACAUAACCGACCAGAGAGGGUGAUCGGCCACACUGGGACUGGAGCACGGCCCAGACUCCUGCGGGAGGGAGCAGGAGGGGAUCUUCGGGAAUGGGGGCAACGCUGACCGAUCAACGCCGGGUGAAUGAAGGAGGUUGUCAGGUCGUGAAAUUCAGUUGUGAGUCAAGGACGGAUGUGAGAGUGGAACGUUCACACAGUGACGGUAGCUUACCAGAAAGCGACGGCUAACUACGUG